AUUGAACGCUGGCGGCAUGCCUUACACAUGCAAGUCGAACGGUAACGGGCCUUCGGGUGCCGACGAGUGGCGAACGGGUGAGUAAUACAUCGGAACGUGCCCGAUCGUGGGGGAUAACGAGGCGAAAGCUUUGCUAAUACCGCAUACGAUCUACGGAUGAAAGCAGGGGACUGCAAGGCCUUGCGCGGACGGAGCGGCCGAUGGCAGAUUAGGUAGUUGGUGGGAUAAAAGCUUACCAAGCCGACGAUCUGUAGCUGGUCUGAGAGGAUGAUCGGCCACACUGGGACUGAGACACGGCCCAGACUCCUACGGGAGGCAGCAGUGGGGAAUUUUGGACAAUGGGCGCAAGCCUGAUCCAGCCAUGCCGCGUGCAGGAUGAAGGCCUUCGGGUUGUAAACUGCUUUUGUACGGAACGAAAAGCCUUCUUUUAAUACAGGAGGGUCAUGACGGUACCGUAAGAAUAAGCACCGGCUAACUACGUG
RNAcentral lists this ribosomal RNA (482 nucleotides) under uncultured bacterium. Its description in RNAcentral is "partial 16S ribosomal RNA". It matches the Rfam family "Bacterial small subunit ribosomal RNA", at positions 30 to 507 of the family's 1533-position model. The record is from RNAcentral.